CAGCAGCCACGGGAAUACGUAGGGUGCGAGCGUUAAUCGGAAUUACUGGGCGUAAAGCGUGCGCAGGCGGUUGUGUAAGACAGGUGUGAGAUCCCCGGGCUUAACCUGGGAACUGCGCUUGUGACUGCACAGCUAGAGUAUGGCAGAGGGGGGUGGAAUUCCACGUGUAGCAGUGAAAUGCGUAGAGAUGUGGAGGAACACCGAUGGCGAAGGCAGCCCCCUGGGCCAAUACUGACGCUCAUGCACGAAAGCGUGGGGAGCAAACAGGAUUAGAUACCCCCGUAGUCCCUGUCUCUUAUAC
RNAcentral lists this ribosomal RNA (301 nucleotides) under uncultured bacterium. RNAcentral describes it as "partial 16S ribosomal RNA". It matches the Rfam family "Bacterial small subunit ribosomal RNA", at positions 509 to 807 of the family's 1533-position model. The record is from RNAcentral.